UGGGGAAUAUUGCACAAUGGACGGAAGUUUGAUGCAGCGACGCCGCGUGGGGGAUGAAGGCCUUCGGGUUGUAAACUUCUUUUGCUCUGAACAAGGCAUGCCUUUGGGGUGUGUUGAGUGUAGGGGUUGAUUAGCGCCGGCUAACUACGUGCCAGCAGCCGCGGUAAUACGUAGGGCGCGAGCGUUGUCCGGAAUUAUUGGGCGUAAAGGGCUUGUAGGUGGCUGGUUGCGUCUGUCGUGAAAGCUCAUGGCUUAACUGUGGGUUUGCGGUGGGUACGGGCUGGCUUGAGUGCAGUAGGGGAGGCUGGAAUUCCUGGUGUAGCGGUGGAAUGCGCAGAUAUCAGGAGGAAUACCGGUGGCGAAGGCGGGUCUCUGGGCUGUUACUGACGCUGAGGAGCGAAAGCGUGGGGAGCGAACAGG
Molecule: ribosomal RNA, 420 nt
Filed under: Fusobacteriota bacterium
Lineage: Bacteria; Fusobacteriati; Fusobacteriota
Description: Fusobacteria bacterium partial 16S ribosomal RNA
Rfam family: Bacterial small subunit ribosomal RNA
Source: RNAcentral